GACGAACGCUGGCGGCGUGCUUAACACAUGCAAGUCGAACGGAAAGGCCCUGCUUUUGUGGGCUGCUCGAGUGGCGAACGGGUGAGUAACACGUGAGUAACCUGCCCUUGACUUUGGGAUAACUUCAGGAAACUGGGGCUAAUACCGGAUAGGAGCUCCUGCUGCAUGGUGGGGGUUGGAAAGUUUCGGCGGUUGGGGAUGGACUCGCGGCUUAUCAGCUUGUUGGUGGGGUAGUGGCUUACCAAGGCUUUGACGGGUAGCCGGCAUGAGAGGGUGACCGGCCACAUUGGGACUGAGAUACGGCCCAGACUCCUACGGGAGGCAGCAGUGGGGAAUAUUGCACAAUGGGCGGAAGCCUGAUGCAGCAACGCCGCGUGCGGGAUGACGGCCUUCGGGUUGUGAACCGCUUUCGCCUGUGACGAAGCGUGAGUGACGGUAAUGGGUAAAGAAGCACCGGCUAACUACGUG
This 468-nucleotide ribosomal RNA is filed under the name uncultured bacterium. RNAcentral's name for it is "partial 16S ribosomal RNA". It matches the Rfam family "Bacterial small subunit ribosomal RNA", at positions 28 to 507 of the family's 1533-position model. The record is from RNAcentral.